Molecule: long non-coding RNA, 2275 nt
Organism: Daphnia magna
Lineage: Eukaryota; Metazoa; Arthropoda; Branchiopoda; Diplostraca; Daphniidae
Exons: 6
Source: RefSeq, a predicted model, not a curated record
UUGCUGCUGAUCACAGUAGGGGCAUGACCCCCUACGGGCUUAUCACAAGUCAAGGGGAAAAGGGCCCACAGAAAAGAAGGGAGCCCAGAUAUGCACUGCAACAUAUUUGUAUCAAUACCAUAACUUGUGAGAUAAUAGAAGAAUCUGGAAAUCUUCGGUCGCCCUUCCAACAUUGUACACAUACCAUUUUACACCAACGUGGGUGUCGCUAACUCGUCAAGUUGUCCUUCAUUAACUAUACAAUGGCGAUCGAAACCUAACAAUCGAUCGAUAAAUUCAAUAUGUUGUAGACUCCUUCCUUGAAGACGCCGUCUAUUGAAAUCCCUCCUUCAAGUGAUGUUUUUGACCGCUAGAUGGCAGUAUCUAUUUAUUUGCUAAAUAAACGGACAACUAUCGAAAAAGAGUUGUCUAUUAAAAAGUGGGUCAAACGGCGUUCCGUAUAUAGGAGUUAUAUACCUUACUAUAUCUAUGCCUUGGUCAUUACAAUAGGUUAAAGGAUUAACCAUGUUGUUCAUCAACUCAAGCUCAAAGAAGUACAAGGUAUUUGAGAUUUCUGUUGCCCCACCUACAUUCAGUGUUACUUCAGAAACACUACAAGUAUGUUUGCUGACUACAUGUAUAUAUUGUUGAAGCAACCACUGCUGCAGGACUGUAGGAUAGCAUAAGAAAAUAAAGUUGGAUGAAAGGUUUGAUACAGAAGCUUUUGAGUGAUGGUGGAUUUGGUAGAGGUGGAUAGUGUUUUUGAACCAUUGAUAUAUAGUUUACUGUAUUGGUUGUUUGUUUGUUUGUUUGUUGUUUUCUUUCCUGGCAUCCUACUGAAUUCCAUUGAUUAAAGUUUGUGGCAAAGUGUGUUGUAUAAGAUAAAUCUAAUCCUAACAAUGUUGGAGAUCCCUUUUGUCAGGCAGGAAGCAUUGUUAUUUAUGUCGUUCAGGUAUAUUAUUCACAUCCAUGCUUUCGAUUCGUGAAAAAAGUAAGACGUGUUGGGAAUUGGAUCUUGAUAUUGCAGAUCCCUCUUUUAAUCAAGGAAAUAUUGAUAAUUUAAGUGUCCUUAAAUUAUUUUAACAAAAUGUUUAUUGCAUUUGGUUACUUUCUUGAAUUUAUUUAUUUUUUCUUAUAGAAAUACCAAGAUAUAUUGUUCUUCCACCCUUCAUACCCGUCAGGUUGCUUCAUGCUUCAUGUUGCGUUCGCGAACCAAUUUGAGCUACGAGAUGGCGCUUGCUUAACCUGUGCGAAAUGUAUUUUUUUCCGAACAAGCAUGGCUCAAGGAGCACGGUUUAACGCCGAUUUGUGGUAAGUUGAUCUCCUGUUUAAAGCCACGUGUACGUAAAAUUUCUGAUGUUGCAUUAUCUGUUAAGAUUGUGAUGGGAAAUUGGCCUAGUUUUUUUUACAGGAAAAGAUUUUUGAGUAUGUAGAAAUAAAUUUUCACCGACACUGCAGUGCAUCAAUGGCUGAAGGAAUGUUGGGUUGAAGAUUUGAUGGAUUAACUUUUGAAUGAUGGUGACAUGUGGGGCCAGAAGAAAUUGGGGGGAGAAAGGCAAUCCUAAACAAUAUAAGAGAUCUCUCUUAUCACCUGAUAAAUGUUGAUAAUUUUGGUGUAUUGUAGGAUAAUAUGAUGGAAUUGAAGGAGAAUGUGACACGAUACGUUGGUUUGGCGUCAGUAAUUUAACCAGUAUGGAAGUUACUUGUUCUUUGUUACCAAUUUACUCGUGGACUGAAAUCAGUAGCAGGCCAUGGAAUGCUGAUGAAUCAUCUGUAAGUGGAAAUUGUUAUGGAGGACAUGCUGUGGCCAUUGAGAAUACCACCUUGAAAAAAACAGAUGAUGGUGUUUGUUGGCAUUGUUUUUGUGGGAGUGUUUUCGAAGAUAGCAUGGAGUCAGAUUGUGAAAAAAAUUACUUUGAAUGAGGCAAUAAGAUUUUUUUUUUCUAUAGGGGGUUGUUAAUCAUCUUUAUGAACAGUCUAAAGCAGCAUAUGUUUUAUUCUGCAUUGGCCUAUUCAAAACAUUUGAUGAAUUGAAAAUUGAUCCCACUCAUCAUCCAUUGGUAGCUAACCAGAAUGGAAAUUGCUUUUUCUAUGUUAUCAACUAGCAGUGGGUUUAGAUUUAUCAUGGCGUACAGUUACUUCGACAUCUCUUAUAAUUCGAUGAAACAUGAUCUGUUAUGACCAAAUUUGAACGCUGGCCUAGAAUAAAAUAAUAGUUUUCCGGUUACUUAUGCAAUCUCUGAAUAGAACGGAAGCAAGAAUAUCGAUUCAGAGAUGAACAUAGUAAUCACAAAGA